RNAcentral lists this ribosomal RNA (1355 nucleotides) under metagenome. Its description in RNAcentral is "bacterial LSU rRNA". It matches the Rfam family "Bacterial large subunit ribosomal RNA", at positions 1540 to 2925 of the family's 2925-position model. The record is from RNAcentral.
CGCCGGGCGAUGGUAGCCCCGGUUGUAAAGGACACAAUUGAGUGGAAGGUAACAUGGAUGGAGACAAGAAAAGCUGUGUGUAUCUGGAAGGAGCCCGUACCGCAAACCGACACAGGUAGAUAGGAAGAAGAUUCUAAGGCCAGCGGGAGAAGGGUUGUUAAGGAACUCGGCAAGUUGACCCCGUAACUUCGGGAGAAGGGGUGCUUACGAAGGUAAGCCGCAGAGAAUAGGCCCAAGCGACUGUUUAGCAAAAACACAGCUCUAUGCUAAAUCGAAAGAUGACGUAUAUGGGGUGACACCUGCCCGGUGCUGGAAGGUUAAGAGGAGAUGUGAGAGCAUUGAAUUGAAGCCCCAGUAAACGGCGGCCGUAACAAUAACGGUCCUAAGGUAGCGAAAUUCCUUGUCAGGUAAGUUCUGACCCGCACGAAUGGUGUAACGAUUUGGGCACUGUCUCAACAACCUACCCGGCGAAAUUGUAGUACCGGUGAAGAUGCCGGUUACCCGCGACUAGACGGAAAGACCCCAUGGAGCUUCACUGUAGCUUAAUAUUGAAUUUUGGUAUUUCAUGUACAGGAUAGGUGGGAGACUGGGAAAUACAGGCGUCAGCUUGUAUGGAGUCACUGUUGGGAUACCACUCUUGAGGUGCUGAAAUUCUAACCUGCGUCUUUGAAUCAAGACGGGGGACAUUGUUAGGUGGGCAGUUUGACUGGGGCGGUCGCCUCCAAAAGAGUAACGGAGGCGCUCAAAGGUUCGCUCAGCAUGGACGGAAACCAUGCCAAAGAGUGCAAACGCAAAAGCGAGCCUAACUGCGAGACUGACGGGUCGAGCAGUAACGAAAGUUGGAGUUAGUGAUCCGGCGGUAUGUGAGUGAAAGUGCCGUCGCUCAACGGAUAAAAGCUACCCUGGGGAUAACAGGCUGAUCUCCCCCAAGAGUCCACAUCGACGGGGAGGUUUGGCACCUCGAUGUCGGCUCAUCGCAUCCUGGGGCUGAAUUCGGUCCCAAGGGUUUGGCUGUUCGCCAAUUAAAGCGGUACGCGAGCUGGGUUCAGAACGUCGUGAGACAGUUCGGUCCCUAUCUGUCGUGGGCGUAGGAUAUUUGAAAGGAGCUGUCCCUAGUACGAGAGGACCGGGAUGGACGCACCUCUGGUGAACCAGUUGUCACGCCAGUGGCACGGCUGGGCAGCUAAGUGCGGAACGGAUAAACGCUGAAAGCAUCUAAGCGUGAAGCCGACCUUAAGAUAAGAUAUCCGUUCUUCGGAAUAAGACCCCUUGUAGACUACGAGGUUGAUAGGCUUAAAGUGUAAGCAUGGUGACAUGUUUAGCUUGCAAGUACUAAUCGGUCGAUUGCUUUUCCU